Molecule: ribosomal RNA, 497 nt
Filed under: uncultured bacterium
Lineage: Bacteria
Description: partial 16S ribosomal RNA
Rfam family: Bacterial small subunit ribosomal RNA
Source: RNAcentral
GAUGAACGCUGGCGGCGUGCCUAAUACAUGCAAGUCGAGCGAACGGACGAGGAGCUUGCUCUUCUGAUGUUAGCGGCGGACGGGUGAGUAACACGUGGAUAACCUACCUAUAAGACUGGGAUAACUUCGGGAAACCGGAGCUAAUACCGGAUAAUAUUUUGAACCGCAUGGUUCAAUAGUGAAAGACGGUCUUGCUGUCACUUAUAGAUGGAUCCGCGCUGCAUUAGCUAGUUGGUAAGGUAACGGCUUACCAAGGCAACGAUGCAUAGCCGACCUGAGAGGGUGAUCGGCCACACUGGAACUGAGACACGGUCCAGACUCCUACGGGAGGCAGCAGUAGGGAAUCUUCCGCAAUGGGCGAAAGCCUGACGGAGCAACGCCGCGUGAGUGAUGAAGGUCUUCGGAUCGUAAAACUCUGUUAUUAGGGAAGAACAUAUGUGUAAGUAACUGUGCACAUCUUGACGGUACCUAAUCAGAAAGCCACGGCUAACUACGUG